UGGUCCGGCGAAGCCAUCUGUUACGCUACGUGGGGGGAGCCAACAGUCUAGGCUUUCUUGUUUUUUCAAUUUUGGGGUUUUCUCCUCCAGAUUUUUGGCCAUAUUAUAGCGUUUAAGUCCGCCCCGUUUGCUCAGCCUCUCAGCAGGGAGCGCUGCCUCUCUGGGGAGAAGGUCAUUGUGCCUCCGUGCGGCGUCCUUCCCCUCCUGACGCGGAGCCGGUGGGAGAGGACGACGGCCGGCGGGGGGAGGAGGCGGCCCUAGCGCCAUUUUGUGGGAGCGAAGCGGUAGCUGGGCUGCUCCUGGAUCCCUCGCUGCUUCGGUUUCCCUGUCGGGCUUCCUAGCAGCGGCCUAGCGGAAAGAUAAGAAAAGAUGUCCGAGUAUAUUCGGGUGACUGAAGAUGAGAAUGACGAGCCCAUUGAAAUACCAUCAGAAGACGACGGGACAGUGCUGCUGUCCACAGUUACAGCCCAGUUUCCCGGCGCCUGUGGGCUGCGCUACAGGAAUCCAGUGUCGCAGUGUAUGAGAGGUGUCCGGCUGGUGGAAGGAAUUCUGCAUGCCCCCGAUGCUGGCUGGGGGAACCUGGUGUAUGUUGUCAACUAUCCCAAAGAUAACAAAAGAAAAAUGGAUGAGACAGAUGCUUCAUCAGCAGUGAAAGUGAAAAGAGCUGUCCAGAAAACGUCUGAUUUAAUAGUGUUGGGUCUUCCAUGGAAAACGACUGAACAGGAUCUAAAAGAAUAUUUUAGUACCUUUGGAGAAGUUCUCAUGGUUCAGGUCAAGAAGGAUAUUAAAACUGGUCAUUCAAAGGGGUUUGGCUUUGUUCGUUUUACGGAAUAUGAAACCCAGGUUAAAGUAAUGUCACAGCGGCAUAUGAUAGAUGGACGGUGGUGUGACUGUAAACUUCCUAAUUCUAAGCAAAGCCCGGACGAGCCUCUGAGAAGCAGGAAGGUGUUCGUCGGGCGCUGCACGGAGGACAUGACCGCCGACGAACUGCGCCAGUUCUUCUGCCAGUACGGGGAAGUGGUAGACGUCUUCAUUCCCAAACCGUUCAGGGCCUUUGCCUUUGUUACAUUUGCAGACGAUCAGGUUGCCCAGUCUCUUUGUGGAGAGGACUUGAUCAUUAAAGGAAUCAGCGUCCACAUAUCCAAUGCUGAACCUAAGCACAAUAGCAAUAGACAGUUAGAAAGAAGUGGAAGAUUCGGUGGUAAUCCAGGUGGCUUUGGGAAUCAGGGUGGGUUUGGUAACAGUAGAGGGGGUGGGGCUGGCCUGGGGAACAAUCAAGGAAGUAAUAUGGGCGGAGGGAUGAACUUUGGUGCUUUCAGCAUUAAUCCAGCGAUGAUGGCCGCGGCCCAGGCCGCGCUGCAGAGCAGCUGGGGCAUGAUGGGAAUGCUGGCCAGUCAGCAGAACCAGUCGGGCCCAUCAGGUAACAACCAAAGCCAAGGCAACAUGCAGCGGGAGCCAAAUCAGGCCUUUGGUUCUGGAAAUAACUCCUAUAGCGGUUCUAAUUCAGGUGCAGCCAUUGGUUGGGGAUCCGCAUCGAAUGCAGGGUCAGGCAGCGGCUUUAAUGGAGGCUUUGGCUCAAGCAUGGAUUCUAAGUCUUCUGGCUGGGGGAUGUAGAGAGUGGGCGUGGUAGAGACUGGUGGGAAUUCAAAUUUUUCUAAACACAUGGUAAGUAUAUUGUAAGAUACAUAUGUACUAAGAAUUUUCAAAAUUGGUUUGUUCAGUGUGGAGUAUAUUCAGCAGUAUUUUUGACAUUUUUCUUUAGAAAAAGAGGAAAAGCUAAAGGAAUUUUAUAAGUUUUGUUACAUAAAGGGUUGAAAUAUUGAGUGUUUGAAAGUGAACUGCUGUUUGCCUGAUGGGUAAAAACCAACACACUACAAUUGAUAUCAAAAGGUUUCUCCUGUACUCUUUUAUCCCUGGACUUGUCAAGUGAAUUCUUUGCAUGUUCAAAUGGAAACCAUUGGUUAGAACUACAUUCUUUUCUCCUUGUUUUAAUUUGAACCCCACCAUAUGGAUUUUUCCCUUAGGAAGAUCUCCUUCUCGGAGAUGACGGUGUCACAGUGUUUGGUUCUUUCUGGUUUUGUUCUUGUUUUUUUAACGCUUGUCUCCCUUCACAUGCACAAGUACAAUACGAAGCCUUCAUUUAAUCUCUGCAGUUCAUCUCAUUUCAAAUGUUUAUGGAAGAAGCACUUCAUUGAAAGUAGUGCUGUAAAUGUUCUGCCAUAGGAAUACUUCUGUCUGCACGCUUUCUCAUUCAAGAACUCGUCAGCACGCUGCACAGGCUGCGUCUUUGACGCCCUGAAUGCAAAGAAUUCAUAGCAGUUAAUUCCCCUUUUUUGACCCUUUUGAGAUGGAACUUUCAUAAAGUUUCUUGGCAGUAGUUUAUUUUGCUUCAAAUAAACUUAUUUGAAAAGUUGUCUCAAGUCAGAUGGAUUCCUCACCUGUCAUGCAUUGACACCUGAUACCCAGACUUAAUUGCUAUUUGUUCUUGCAUUGUCCAAAGUGAAAGUUUUUUGUUUUUUUGUUUUUUUGUUUUUUCUUUUUAAAUCUAGUUUUUAAUAAGUCUGGGUGACCGCACCUAAAAUGGUAAGCAGCGCCCUCCGGCUUUUUACUAGUGCCUCUGUGCGUUUGGGUGAUGUUCUAUUUACAUGGCCUGUAUAAAUCUCCAUUGGGACUCUUGCCUUCUAAAAAUAUUCUUAUUUGGGGGAGUGGGAAGAACUCUGUUAAUUAUUUUCAAAUGCUUUGUAGCAAAGCAUAGCAGUCGAAAAGAAGGGCAUAUCAGCACCUUCCUAGCUUGGGAUUUGAAAAGUGGAAUUAAUUGCAGUAGGGAUAAAGUAGAAGAAACCACAAAUUAUCUUGUGCCUGAAAUCCAUUACAGAGCCUGAUAGCUUUAAGAACUAGCAGGGUGGGGUGUCUGUCUGGAAGUGUUAAGUGAAAUGGGCUUUGUCCCCCACAAGUGGGGGACUAGAGUAACGUUGAAUAAAAUCGUUUACAAACUCAGAUUAGACUCUCACGAUGCAUUGUGAAGUAUGUCAAAGCAAUAAUUACUGAUUCUCUGUUGUACUUUUUAUGUAACUGCCGUGAGAGUCGAGCUUGUUUUCUGAUGGAAGGAUGUGAACGGGUUUGUGUCGGUUCUACCUGAUGCCCUUCCCUGGUAGAUGAUGAUAGAUAGGUUUGUCAUUUUGCACGUUGCGUGUUUGAAACUGUUAGAAAUGAAGUCGUCCUUUAGACUUGUGAUCGCCACGUUGUUUCGUUAUUCAGUUUCCUCUGUAAAAGGAUCUUGCGUUGUUUGAAUUUUUUUUUUUCUGCAUCUAAAUUGCAUGAUUUCCAAACCCUGUACCAUCUGAAUUUUGCAUUUUAGCACUUGCACUAUUACUCAGCAGCAGUAACAUGGUAACACUUAAAAUGGUAUUCGGGGACCUCCAAAGACUAAACUGACAAGCCUCCAAGGAGCCCAGGGGUAAGUUCACUUGUCAAUGGCAUGGUUUUAAUCCCUUAUUUACACUUGUUGUAAAUCUAGUUACCAGUCUUAGAAGGCUUUCAAUGUGGAGCAGCCUUCUGUUAACAUGUUUGUGGUACCAGUAGCUGUGGGUAUUUAAUUCUACCCUAGAAAAAAGAGAAAAAAAGAAAAUGAAGUCUAGAAGUAAACUAUUUGGCAAAGAUUUGUUUUUAAAAGUCUAUUUGGUCAUCUCAAUGCAUUCAUUCUCAAAACUUUUUGAACCAGUUGAAUAAAAAAUUUGUUGUCACCACAGUUUAGUGUCUGGAGUCUUACUGGAAAAAUACAGUUUCUUUUUUAUAUGUGACAAAGGCGAUGGAAAGUUACCGUUCAAAAGUGAGUCUCAAGAAGUUCCCCCCCUUUAAUGAGCACAAGAGAAAUUGGGCCAAAAGUCAACAGUGAAUUUUUACAUGAGUGGUAGUUAUUUGGCUAGAAUGAAACCCUUUGUUAAAUGUUAACCUAUUAGAACUUCUUAAGGAGGAACAGCCAGUGAAAAUGGCAUUAGAUCUUUAAGGUUAAAUCGGCUUAAAUUGUGUCCUUUGGAAAAAGAAGAUGUACAUGAUAAUUAGAAUAAUUUGUUGUUGAGUACUAGGUGAGUAGCUCUUAAUUGUGUAUGAGUUCUAUACUUAGCUAUUGUAUGGUAUGUGAUCUGUUGUUUGUUAAGCAUGCCCAAGUAUUUCCAUGUUCAUUGUAAGAAGGAAAAAACCAGCUAUAGAUUUAUCUGUUAAACCAACACUUGAUUCUGACGUAUUUCUUCUUAAGGAAAUGCCACAUUUGAUUCAGCUGUUUUCUAUAUGUGAAUAUUAUAUUCAGGAUAUUUCCAAGUGCCAGAACAUCCUCACAGCUAAAUUAAAUUCUUAACAUUGGAAUUACUAGGUCAAAGACUAUAUGCAUGCUGUCAGGGCUUUUCAAAUAUUUCCAAAUUGUCCUUUAGAAAAUGUAUAUUGUCUUCAACAGUGUGAAAUAGUGCUAUUCCAUGUUCCUUUUUGUCUGCCAAUUUGAAUAAGUGAAAAAUUCUAUCUCACCAUUUGUGCUAUUGGUUUUUAAACAUGGGAGUCAGCACCUAAGCCAAAGUAUCCAUGUGUCCAGUUUAUUUACAAAAAAAAAAA
Mustela erminea (ermine) is the source of this 4602-nucleotide RNA transcript. It is a transcript of the gene named TAR DNA binding protein, with no coding region annotated. The transcript is spliced from 7 exons. The record is from RefSeq and is a predicted model, not a curated record. NCBI's taxonomy places the organism in Eukaryota, Metazoa, Chordata, Mammalia, Carnivora, Mustelidae.